This 253-nucleotide ribosomal RNA is filed under the name uncultured bacterium. Its description in RNAcentral is "partial 16S ribosomal RNA". It matches the Rfam family "Bacterial small subunit ribosomal RNA", at positions 524 to 776 of the family's 1533-position model. The record is from RNAcentral.
UACGGGGGGGGCAAGCGUUGUUCGGAAUUACUGGGCGUAAAGGGCUCGUAGGUGGCCAACUAAGUCGGACGUGAAAUCCCUCGGCUUAACCGGGGAACUGCGUCCGAUACUGGUUGGCUUGAGUUUGGGAGAGGGACGCGGAAUUCCAGGUGUAGCGGUGAAAUGCGUAGAUAUCAAGUGGAACACCAGUGGCGAAGGCGAGUCUCUGGACAUUUCCUGACGCUGAGGCACGAAAGCCAGGGGAGCAAACGGG